RNAcentral lists this ribosomal RNA (253 nucleotides) under uncultured bacterium. RNAcentral's name for it is "partial 16S ribosomal RNA". It matches the Rfam family "Bacterial small subunit ribosomal RNA", at positions 524 to 776 of the family's 1533-position model. The record is from RNAcentral.
GACAGAGGAUGCAAGCGUUAUCCGGAAUGAUUGGGCGUAAAGCGUCUGUAGGUGGUUUAUUAAGUCUACUGUUAAAGAUCAGGGCUUAACCCUGAGCAGGCAAUAGAAACUAAUAGGCUAGAGUACGGUAGGGGCAGAGGGAAUUCCCGGUGUAGCGGUGAAAUGCGUAGAGAUCGGGAAGAACAUCGGUGGCGAAAGCGCUCUGCUGGACUGCAACUGACACUAAAGGACGAAAGCUAGGGGAGCGAAUGGG